Long non-coding RNA from Mustela lutreola (European mink), 970 nucleotides. RefSeq lists it as uncharacterized. The record is from RefSeq and is a predicted model, not a curated record. The transcript has 3 exons. NCBI's taxonomy places the organism in Eukaryota, Metazoa, Chordata, Mammalia, Carnivora, Mustelidae.
AGCCGGGCCGCCGAGGUCAGGAUGGGGGCCAGGCGAGGGGCCAGGGAGGCCAAGGGCGUCGUCAGCACCAGGAGGCCCGACCGGAAUACGGCCAUGCUGCCCAGGCCUGCGGACAGCCAGGGAGACGAGGCGUUCCGCGAGUGCCGCCGCGGAGGCUCACCUGGAUGCGACCCGGAAAUACUAGCUCAGCAGCUCCGUGUCCGAGCUACGGAACGGCAGAAAGGCCAAAGUGUCUGCUCUGUUCGGGAUCUCGCGAGACUUUAAAUGGGAGUCACAGGGUGGCACUGAAUUCAGGACUCAGAGCCCCCGCAGCCCUCCUGGCGCCCUCCCAGUCUGAGGAUCCUCCUGUGGAAGGACCACUCUGUCCGAGUCCCCAUUUCACAGCUGGAGAAAUUGAAGCCGUCUGUGUUCCAGGAACAUUAUAAGGAAGGUCUUGUGGCUCCGAAGCUCUCCACACCACCCCGAACCAGUUUGAGAGAGAGAGGAGGAGAGCUCUGCCUGGCAGCUCAUAGGGUUGCCAGAGGAUGGUCUCCAGACGGGAGAAAAGGGGAGGACGGAGGGAGACCUAGUGGCAAGGGUUUACUGUGAAGCUAAUGGGGCCCGAAAGGUUGGAACUGGUAGCCUCCAUGGGGAGAGGAAGCUAGGAUGCUAUCAGGAGAUAUUUCAGAUAAAGUGUCCAUAAAGAUCUCAAAAGGGAGGGAAACCAGUUUCCAAGAUUCCUGUAAUGUGCUAUCGUUUAUUUUCCCAAACUAAACAAUGCUUGUUUUCAUAAUUAUGUAGGUUCAUUUUGUAUUUUUUUAAAAAGACUUUAGGGGCACCUGGGUGGCUCAGUGGGUUAAGCCUCUGCCUUUGGCUCAGGUCAUGAUCUCAGGGUCCUGGGAUUGAGCCUCACAUCGGGCUCUCUGCUCAGCGAGGAGCCUGCUUUCCUCCUCUCUUUCUGCCUGCCUCUCUGCCUACCUGUGAUCUCUUG